RNAcentral lists this ribosomal RNA (501 nucleotides) under uncultured bacterium. RNAcentral describes it as "partial 16S ribosomal RNA". It matches the Rfam family "Bacterial small subunit ribosomal RNA", at positions 30 to 523 of the family's 1533-position model. The record is from RNAcentral.
AUUGAACGCUGGCGGCAGGCUUAACACAUGCAAGUCGAGCGGAGAUGAGGUGCUCGCACCUUAUCUUAGCGGCGGACGGGUGAGUAAUGCUUAGGAAUCUGCCUAUUAGUGGGGGACAACAUUCCGAAAGGAAUGCUAAUACCGCAUACGUCCUACGGGAGAAAGCAGGGGAUCUUCGGACCUUGCGCUAAUAGAUGAGCCUAAGUCGGAUUAGCUAGUUGGUGGGGUAAAGGCCUACCAAGGCGACGAUCUGUAGCGGGUCUGAGGGGAUGAUCCGCCACACUGGGACUGAGACACGGCCCAGAAUCCUACGGGAGGCAGCAGUGGGGAAUAUUGGACAAUGGGGGGAACCCUGAUCCAGCCAUGCCGCGUGUGUGAAGAAGGCCUUAUGGUUGUAAAGCACUUUAAGCGAGGAGGAGGCUACUGAGACUAAUACUCUUGGAUAGUGGACGUUACUCGCAGAAUAAGCACCGGCUAACUCUGUGCCAGCAGCCGCCGUAA